This 402-nucleotide ribosomal RNA is filed under the name Staphylococcus aureus. Its description in RNAcentral is "bacterial SSU rRNA". It matches the Rfam family "Bacterial small subunit ribosomal RNA", at positions 1 to 392 of the family's 1533-position model. Lineage: Bacteria; Bacillati; Bacillota; Bacilli; Caryophanales; Staphylococcaceae. The record is from RNAcentral.
UUUAUGGAGAGUUUGAUCCUGGCUCAGGAUGAACGCUGGCGGCGUGCCUAAUACAUGCAAGUCGAGCGAACGGACGAGAAGCUUGCUUCUCUGAUGUUAGCGGCGGACGGGUGAGUAACACGUGGAUAACCUACCUAUAAGACUGGGAUAACUUCGGGAAACCGGAGCUAAUACCGGAUAAUAUUUUGAACCGCAUGGUUCAAAAGUGAAAGACGGUCUUGCUGUCACUUAUAGAUGGAUCCGCGCUGCAUUAGCUAGUUGGUAAGGUAACGGCUUACCAAGGCAACGAUGCAUAGCCGACCUGAGAGGGUGAUCGGCCACACUGGAACUGAGACACGGUCCAGACUCCUACGGGAGGCAGCAGUAGGGAAUCUUCCGCAAUGGGCGAAAGCCUGACGGAGC